AGCUCUGUAAGCGUAUACCAAAGUUGUUGCAGUUAAAACGCUCGUAGUCGGAUUUUGGCGGGCGUUGCGGGUUUGUUUUUUUCUAAAAUGAGUCAGCAGCGGCCGCCUUUGUGGAGGGGGGCUUUCGGGGUACUUCAUUGAAUCUCACUGUCGCCGCCACCGUUUACUGUGAAAAAAUUAGAGUGUUCAAAGCGGGCGUUUGCCAUGAAUACAUUAGCAUGGAAUAAUAGAAUAGGACCUGGUCCUGUUUUGUUGGUUUGUGAGUAUCAGGUAAUGAUUAAGAGGGACGGUUGGGGGCACUUGUAUUGCGGCGUUAGAGGUGAAAUUCUUGGAUCGCCGCAAGACAAACAGCUGCGAAAGCGUUUGCCAAGGACGUUUUCA
Molecule: ribosomal RNA, 381 nt
Filed under: uncultured eukaryote
Lineage: Eukaryota
Description: partial small subunit ribosomal RNA
Rfam family: Eukaryotic small subunit ribosomal RNA
Source: RNAcentral